AUGGGGCAUGCAAAGGCAAUUGACGAGGCGGAUCUGCAAGAGAUCAUGGCACUGCGUGAUGAUUUUGGCGCUCUGCAGCAGGAUAAUGUUCAGAUGCGGUCCGAGAUGUCAAAAUUACAGGGGGAGGUGCUGUCCAUGAGUGCUAAACAAGGAGAAAUCUCCAAGCAGGUUGGAGGGGUUAUGGACCUCAACAAACAACUGUCUACCAUCAGUUCAGUGCUGCAAUCGCUAGUAAAAACCACAAUAACACUUACUCAGAGUGAAAUGCCCUCCACCUCUCGUCAAGUUCCCAAGUCCCCAACGCUGCAGCAAGAAAACAUUCAGGAUCAGCUGACCAGAAUAGAAUAG
This 348-nucleotide ribosomal RNA is filed under the name Triticum aestivum (bread wheat). Its description in RNAcentral is "partial small subunit ribosomal RNA". Lineage: Eukaryota; Viridiplantae; Streptophyta; Magnoliopsida; Poales; Poaceae. The record is from RNAcentral.